Molecule: small nuclear RNA, 104 nt
Organism: Lontra canadensis (Northern American river otter)
Lineage: Eukaryota; Metazoa; Chordata; Mammalia; Carnivora; Mustelidae
Source: RefSeq, a predicted model, not a curated record
GUGCUCUAUUUGGCAGCACAUAUACUAAAAUUGGAAUGAUAUGAAGAUUAGCAUUGCCCCUACACAACAAUGACACACAAAUUCAUGAAGUGUUCCAUACUUAA